RNAcentral lists this long non-coding RNA (549 nucleotides) under Helianthus annuus (common sunflower). RNAcentral's name for it is "hypothetical non coding rna". Lineage: Eukaryota; Viridiplantae; Streptophyta; Magnoliopsida; Asterales; Asteraceae. The record is from RNAcentral.
UUGCCGCCCAAACCUUCAACGACGAUUAGGGAAAGUUUAAAUCAGUGAUUGAUUCCGCGUUUCCUUUUUCCUCGGCAAUCUUGUAUCUGGCCGUGAUAGUGUGCACCAAUCCCACGCGUUUUCUUCAAUCAACCAAGUUUUAUAAUAGGCAAAAAAAUCAAGAGUUUCAAUCACAUAAAUCCUAGCGUGUUCUUCAAACCCGAGCGCUAUAAGUUCGAGAGCACACAGGCUCUAUUUAUUUUUCACCACUCCCCACCUCUCUCUCUAAUCAAUACCGUGAAGAACGACGUCUUGCUGAACCCGCCGGAGAAAUCCAGAUGUCGUCGGGAUUUAGCGUAACUUACCGGAGAUCGGAGAACAAGUCGGAAACCCGCAAGCUUGUUUCGGUGAACAGGUACGAACAGAAGAUUGGACAUAGGAUGGACCUUAGUUAACAAGAAACGGAUUAGCCUAGUGUAGUUUAUUAGUUAUGAAAAAAUGUCUUGUGUUUGUAAUUGUGUAUUUGAAUUAUUUGUUUCGUGAAACAUUUGUUAUGAAUUAAUGAUUAUU